RNAcentral lists this ribosomal RNA (560 nucleotides) under Rhodotorula glutinis. Its description in RNAcentral is "eukaryotic LSU rRNA". It matches the Rfam family "Eukaryotic large subunit ribosomal RNA", at positions 87 to 659 of the family's 3401-position model. Lineage: Eukaryota; Fungi; Basidiomycota; Microbotryomycetes; Sporidiobolales; Sporidiobolaceae. The record is from RNAcentral.
CGGCGAGCGANGCGGGAAGAGCUCAAAUUUAUAAUCUGGCACCUUCGGUGUCCGAGUUGUAAUCUCUAGAAGUGUUUUCCGCGUUGGACCGCACACAAGUCUGUUGGAAUACAGCGGCAUAGUGGUGAAACCCCCGUAUAUGGUGCGGACGCCCAGCGCUUUGUGAUACACUUUCAAUGAGUCGAGUUGUUUGGGAAUGCAGCUCAAAUUGGGUGGUAAAUUCCAUCUAAAGCUAAAUAUUGGCGAGAGACCGAUAGCGAACAAGUACCGUGAGGGAAAGAUGAAAAGCACUUUGGAAAGAGAGUUAACAGUACGUGAAAUUGUUGGAAGGGAAACGCUUGAAGUCAGACUUGCUUGCCGGAGCUUGCUUCGGUUUGCAGGCCAGCAUCAGUUUUCCGGGGUGGAUAAUGACGGUUUGAAGGUAGCAGUCUCGGCUGUGUUAUAGCUUUCCGUUGGAUACAUCCUGGGGGACUGAGGAACGCAGCGUGCUUUUUGCGAAAGACUCGUCUUUUUCACGCUUAGGAUGCUGGUGGAAUGGCUUUAAACGACCCGUCUUGAAA